This 253-nucleotide ribosomal RNA is filed under the name uncultured bacterium. RNAcentral's name for it is "partial 16S ribosomal RNA". It matches the Rfam family "Bacterial small subunit ribosomal RNA", at positions 524 to 775 of the family's 1533-position model. The record is from RNAcentral.
UACGUAGGGUGCAGGCGUUAAUCGGAAUUACUGGGCGUAAAGCGUGCGCAGGCGGUCUUUUAAGUCAGAUGUGAAAUCCCUCGGCUUAACCGGGGAACUGCGUCCGAUACUGGAUGGCUUGAGUUCGGGAGAGGGAUGCGGAAUUCCAGGUGUAGCGGUGAAAUGCGUAGAGAUGUGGAGGAACACCGAUGGCGAAGGCAGCCCCCUGGGUCGAAGAUUGACGCUCAUGCACGAAAGCGUGGGGAGCAACAGG